Molecule: ribosomal RNA, 800 nt
Filed under: uncultured Staphylococcus sp.
Lineage: Bacteria; Bacillati; Bacillota; Bacilli; Caryophanales; Staphylococcaceae
Description: bacterial SSU rRNA
Rfam family: Bacterial small subunit ribosomal RNA
Source: RNAcentral
CCACCGUGGAUAACCUACCUCAUAAGACUUGGGAUAACUUCCGCGGAAACCCGUAGCUAAUACCGGAUAAUAUUUUGACACCCGCAUGGUUCAAACAGUGAAAGACGGUCUUGCUGUCACUUAUAGAUGGACUCCGCGCUGCAUUAGCUAGUCUGGUAAGGUAACCGGCUUACCAAGGCAACGAUGCAUAGCCGACCUGAGAGGGUGAUCGGCCACACUGGCAACUGAGACACGGUCCAGACUCCUACGGGAGGCACGCAGUAGGGAAUCUUCCGCAAUGGGCGAAAGCCUGACGGAGCAACGCCGCGUGAGUGAUGAAGGUCUUCGGAUCGUAAACUCUGUUAUUAGGGAAGGACAUAUGUGUAAGUAACUGUGCACAUCUUGACGGUACCUAAUCAGAAAGCCACGGCUAACUACGUGCCAGCAGCCGCGGUAAUACGUAGGUGGCAAGCGUUAUCCGGAAUUAUUGGGCGUAAAGCGCGCGUAGGCGGUUUUUUAAGUCUGAUGUGAAAGCCCACGGCUCAACCGUGGAGGGUCAUUGGAAACUGGAAAACUUGAGUGCAGAAGAGGAAAGUGGAAUUCCAUGUGUACGGUGAAAUGCGCAGAGAUAUGGAGGAACACCAGUGGCGAAGGCGACUUUCUGGUCUGUAACUGACGCUGAUGUGCGAAAGCGUGGGGAUCAAACAGGAUUAGAUACCCUGGUAGUCCACGCCGUAAACGAUGAGUGCUAAGUGUUAGGGGUUUCCGCCCCUUAGUGCUGCAGCUACGCAUUAAGCACUCCGCCCUGGGGAAUACGACCC